UCCGGAGCUAACGCGUUAAGUCGACCGCCUGGGGAGUACGGCCGCAAGGUUAAAACUCAAAUGAAUUGACGGGGGCCCGCACAAGCGGUGGAGCAUGUGGUUUAAUUCGAUGCAACGCGAAGAACCUUACCUGGUCUUGACAUCCACAGAACUUUCCAGAGAUGGAUUGGUGCCUUCGGGAACUGUGAGACAGGUGCUGCAUGGCUGUCGUCAGCUCGUGUUGUGAAAUGUUGGGUUAAGUCCCGCAACGAGCGCAACCCUUAUCCUUUGUUGCCAGCGGUCCGGCCGGGAACUCAAAGGAGACUGCCAGUGAUAAACUGGAGGAAGGUGGGGAUGACGUCAAGUCAUCAUGGCCCUUACGACCAGGGCUACACACGUGCUACAAUGGCGCAUACAAAGAGAAGCGACCUCGCGAGAGCAAGCGGACCUCAUAAAGUGCGUCGUAGUCCGGAUUGGAGUCUGCAACUCGACUCCAUGAAGUCGGAAUCGCUAGUAAUCGUGGAUCAGAAUGCCACGGUGAAUACGUUCCCGGGCCUUGUACACACCGCCCGUCACACCAUGGGAGUGGGUUGCAAAAGAAGUAGGUAGCUUAACCUUCGGGAGGGCGCUUACCACUUUGUGAUUCAUGACUGGGGUGAAGUCGUAACAAGGUAACCGUAGGGGAACCUGCGGUUGGAUCACCUCCUUACCUUAAAGAAGC
RNAcentral lists this ribosomal RNA (700 nucleotides) under Escherichia coli. Its description in RNAcentral is "bacterial SSU rRNA". It matches the Rfam family "Bacterial small subunit ribosomal RNA", at positions 845 to 1533 of the family's 1533-position model. The record is from RNAcentral. Lineage: Bacteria; Pseudomonadati; Pseudomonadota; Gammaproteobacteria; Enterobacterales; Enterobacteriaceae.